CAAUGUAGCUCAGUUGGUAGAGCAGCUGAUUCGUAAUCAGCAGGUCAAGGGUUCGAGUCCCUUCAUUGG
This 69-nucleotide transfer RNA is filed under the name human gut metagenome. It matches the Rfam family "tRNA". Rfam says of the family: Transfer RNA (tRNA) molecules are approximately 80 nucleotides in length. Their secondary structure includes four short double-helical elements and three loops (D, anti-codon, and T loops). The record is from RNAcentral. RNAcentral also lists the same sequence under 1 other name.